GCACAAGCGGUGGAGCAUGUGGUUUAAUUCGAUGCAACGCGAAGAACCUUACCUGGUCUUGACAUCCCGGAGACCCUUAGGAAACUAGGGGGUGCUUCCAUCUGGAAGAAUCUGGAGACAGGUGCUGCAUGGCUGUCGUCAGCUCGUGUCGUGAGAUGUUGGGUUAAGUCCCGCAACGAGCGCAACCCUUGCCUUUAGUUGCCAGCAGUUCGGCUGGGCACUCUAAAGGGACUGCCGGUGUUAAACCGGAGGAAGGUGGGGAUGACGUCAAGUCCUCAUGGCCUUUAUGACCAGGGCUACACACGUACUACAAUGGCCGAUACAAAGGGCAGCGACACUGCGAGGUGAAGCCAAUCCCGUAAAAUCGGUCUCAGUCCGGAUUGGAGUCUGCAACUCGACUCCAUGAAGUUGGAAUCGCUAGUAAUCGUGGAUCAGCAUGCCACGGUGAAUACGUUCCCGGGCCUU
RNAcentral lists this ribosomal RNA (465 nucleotides) under uncultured Desulfobulbus sp. RNAcentral describes it as "bacterial SSU rRNA". It matches the Rfam family "Bacterial small subunit ribosomal RNA", at positions 923 to 1382 of the family's 1533-position model. Lineage: Bacteria; Pseudomonadati; Thermodesulfobacteriota; Desulfobulbia; Desulfobulbales; Desulfobulbaceae. The record is from RNAcentral.